Molecule: long non-coding RNA, 514 nt
Filed under: Homo sapiens (human)
Lineage: Eukaryota; Metazoa; Chordata; Mammalia; Primates; Hominidae
Description: non-protein coding lnc-VSX1-1:10
Source: RNAcentral
UUCCAAGGCCUUGAUUUAACAACUGUUGCUGGGAGAAAGUUCUUUGAAUCAUUCUGAUUAAGAAAUCUGCUUCUCCUUUCACAAGUGGCCAUCAAGAACAGCUGGUUUUCUAAGAGGCUUCCGAGAUUUGAAAAACGGUGGCUAAUGAUGACAACAGCAACAGCACUGAGCACAGAAAACUCCACAGGCCUGGGCUCGGCUCAUCGCACAGCCUCCAUCUCUGGAUGCCCUGAUUCAAGGAGAUUCAAAACCCGUGUCACUGCUGCCAUCUUCCUAGAAUCCCUUUAAAUCCUCAUGGAUUUGCUGACAUUGGGAGCAUCCUGAAAGAGUCCCCAUGCUAGGGUGGCUGCAGUAACAGGUUCUCCCCACUCCAGAAAAAAUCAAAUCAGAUUGUGAAUUUAUUCCCUGACAUUAACACACGGCAUUACAGGAGCAUGUACAUCACAUGGUCAAUUUAUUGGCAUGAGGAUUAUGUCAUCGGGGAAUAAAUGGGAAAUUCUCAAGGUACUUUGCU